ACCGAAGUUAAAAUCCAGAAAUCUUGUUUAAACGCUUCAAAUUCACACAUAUUAGGUUGUUGAAAUGUAAAAAUAAAGGGAAAUGGGAUUAUGGACCAAGAAUUCGAAGUACAGAAGAAGAUGAAACAUAGGAUAAAUGAAGCACAGAGAACGACAAAGCAAGAGAUGAAAAUAAAAAUCCAAAUGCGUGUUAAUCGAGCCGGAGAAGAAGAUGGAGCGACAAAGGAACAACAGGAAGCACGAGAUGAGAUGAGAUGAGAUGGAGAUGAAAUUCAAUAAAGAGAUGAGGUUAAGGAGAUACAAUGAAAGAGGGAGGCGGCCAUUUUCAUCGCUCCAGACAACAACAAUAAUGAAAGGCAAAUUACGUUUAGGCUUAGGUGAAAUUUCUCCAAGCCAAACCCUCUACCCAUGCUAAAGGUUAGGUCCGAGCAUUUUAUCUGGACCCGAAAUCUCGAACCGAUCCGAAAAUACCCGAUCGAAACCGAACCAAAAAUUUACAAGUACCUAUUGGGUCCAAAAUUCUUCCACCCGAAAGAACCAGAACCAAAAAAACCCGAAUAAACCCGGACCCGAAA
RNAcentral lists this long non-coding RNA (575 nucleotides) under Brassica rapa (field mustard). Its description in RNAcentral is "long non-coding RNA (BRAP_LNC006680)". Lineage: Eukaryota; Viridiplantae; Streptophyta; Magnoliopsida; Brassicales; Brassicaceae. The record is from RNAcentral.